Molecule: non-coding RNA, 563 nt
Organism: Paramuricea clavata
Lineage: Eukaryota; Metazoa; Cnidaria; Anthozoa; Malacalcyonacea; Plexauridae
Source: the annotation of a GenBank genome assembly
GCACUAUGCAUAAAAGACACAUUAACUGAUCAAAUUGGUCUUGGCCGUCUUAUCUCAAAGCACGAAAUGUUCUGUUUUGAGAAAACAGUAUUUAAAACAUUUGAACUUUUGCUUGAAUAUCUUAUAUUUCGAAAAACAGUAUAAACUGUACGGUCUAAAUUUAGUUUGCACGGUCUAAAUUUAGUUUACACGAAAGUUGUAAACAACACCAUAUAAGGAUAGACACUCCAUAUUUGGAGAAACGAACGUUACGGGGCAGAUAUUCAAAUUCAUUAGUCAUCGAUGCAGGCUCUCAAUUCAGCUUGAGAGCCUGUUCGCAGGCUAUUGCUUAGCUUGCUCGCAGACGCUUCUGGCAGCAAGUUCAUCACUGGUAAUGCGAGUGUAAGGGGAUAUUGGUAAAUAACAUGAUUUUGGCCGUCUCACUUCCUGCCAGACAGGGUCCACAGUUGCGUUCUUCGCAGCUACUUAUGGCUGGAUCUAAAAAAAUGUAUAAAAUAAAUUCGAAAUUUCAAUCUCACUACAAAACCUUCCACAUUCUGUCGAGUGCGAUGCUUGAAAUCCUG